CAUUCUUGGAGCACUGGCUGCAACGUAAGAAGUCUGACUACUCUCUUGGAGAGGACUUGUGGAGUGGCCCUGUGCUGCAUGCGUAGAAGGAAAAACCGAGGAGAGUUCAGCCCUCCAGCUGUUCUUACCAAGGCACCAGGCAUAAGGCAGAAAUGGUUUCCGUUCAGCAAAUCCACACCAGCAAUCCUCUUACAGCAAAUUUCCAAGAAACAUGGUUGGAUAACAGUGCUGGACCUAAAAAAGGUGUUGGCCCACGAGUGCCUCUCUCUCCCUGCCUGAGCUCCCUGACCAGCAUGCGUGUGGCCUCCAGGUGUGUUGUCUACCCCCCAGGACCUAAUUCUCAGAGUUUCUCAAAUAUGAUGGGUAAACCGCCUGCAGAAAAAUCACCCGGGGCCUUGUUAAAACUGGAGAUCCCUGAGCCCAGCCCUGCAAGAUGGAGAGGAGAUUUAGAAUUCGGGAACAUGUUGUUUUAAUUCAGAACUCAGGGAAUGGUUAUAAAUAUUAAAGUUUGAGAACCACUGACGAUCAGGAUCUGUUGUGUACAUUAACACAAGUGGAAUUACUGUAAUAGGGAAAAACACUUCUACUUAAUAUACCCAAAAAUGAUAUACUUUAAAAAUCUCAAACCUGACUUCUUAAGCUGCUUUAAAGAAUGGUUUCUCUGUACAUUCCAAAUGGACUUUCACAUAUUUGCCCUCAGUGAUUUCUCAUGUAGCUUUGAAUCCUGGAGAACUACCCAAUAAUUAGUCUUAGAAACCAGUGAAGGUGGCCGGGCUUAGUGGCUCACACCUGUAAUCCCAGC
Molecule: long non-coding RNA, 802 nt
Filed under: Homo sapiens (human)
Lineage: Eukaryota; Metazoa; Chordata; Mammalia; Primates; Hominidae
Description: HSALNT0114865
Source: RNAcentral